Micropterus dolomieu (smallmouth bass) is the source of this 1034-nucleotide long non-coding RNA. RefSeq lists it as uncharacterized. The transcript is spliced from 5 exons. Lineage: Eukaryota; Metazoa; Chordata; Actinopteri; Centrarchiformes; Centrarchidae. The record is from RefSeq and is a predicted model, not a curated record.
UGGUUGUUGUGCUUUCGGAUGCACUAAUUGAGGAGGAGACAAGCCUGGGCUUUUAGAUGCAGCAGCCAGUAGAAGACGGGAAUUUGGAUUAAAGAGCAGUGGACAAUGGCCCACCUGGCCCUAUCAACUGGACCAGGCACCACGGCGGGUGCGGUGAUCACUCAGAGGAGAGGAAAGAGAGCCAAGAUAGGAGCCAUGCUGGCCCGGCUUUGACUUAAUUCUGCUGCUAAAGUUCCGGUCUGGACUUAAUUGGAACUCAGGUUGGCCAAGCAACGGAAAUCAGAGACUGCUGUGCCCACAUCUUUACAGAGACAUGCCCCAUCAACAUCCCGGAUCAAGCACUCGGCGGGUGGUCCACGUCCUGAGCUGUCAAUUCUCACUCCCAAGUCGUCACAUAUGGAUGCAUGGUCAAGAGCCAUAGUCGUCAGUUUGUGACGCACUGAGAAUCCCUUUUCCAUCAUAGUUCGACAUCUUGGGGGAAGCCCUGCAGCAUCAGUUUUUGACGUACCACCUACUGUGCAGUACCUAAUUAAGGGUACAGGAUGUGAUGGAGACAAACACCUUCAAAUAUGACGAUUUCCAGUAACCUCAGACACAUGGAACAUAAUUUUCUUCAAAACCUUCACUGUGCAUUCGGAGAUAAUGGUGACUUACAACAGGGAAGAGCCACAGUCCUUGCUGCUGAGUGUCCUUGCAGCUGAGCCUACUUGUUGCUGACUGUGACAGCUCUGACUGAUGUGCAGAGCUUCCAUGAUGACAGCAUUGUUGUCUCUGAUGAGGACUACACUCCAGAGCCAAGCACAGACCCGGGACACGACCGGGGUCGAGGCAAAGCAGAGGAGGGAGGGCUGCCAGGGUCCGAGGAAGAAGAGGCAGAGGACGGGGAGGAUGAACUGCAAGUCAAGGAGCUCAUAUUCUAAGACCUGCAUAGAGCUUCACGCUCCAACAAUGGCAUAUGAACAUAUAUAUAUAUAUAUAUACACACUGUAUAUUAUAAUAUUAGUAUAUUAUCUUCCAGUGUACUCAAAGUUUCU